This 551-nucleotide ribosomal RNA is filed under the name uncultured bacterium. RNAcentral's name for it is "bacterial SSU rRNA". It matches the Rfam family "Bacterial small subunit ribosomal RNA", at positions 355 to 896 of the family's 1533-position model. The record is from RNAcentral.
UGAGGAAUUUUGCGCAAUAGGGGAAACCCUGACGCAGCAACGCCGCGUGAGUGAAGAAGGCCCUUGGGUCGUAAAGCUCUGUCAAGUGGGAAAAAAGCUUACUGGUAAAUAGCCAGCAAGACUGAUGGUACCAUUGAAGGAAGCACCGGCUAACUCCGUGCCAGCAGCCGCGGUAAUACGGAGGGUGCAAGCGUUGUUCGGAAUUACUGGGCGUAAAGGGCGUGUAGGCGGUGUGGUAAGUCAGAUGUGAAAGCCCUGGGCUUAACCCAGGAAGUGCAUUUGAAACUGCCAUGCUUGAGUAUGGGAGAGGAGAGUGGAAUUCCCAGUGUAGAGGUGAAAUUCGUAGAUAUUGGGAGGAACACCCGUGGCGAAGGCGACUCUCUGGACCAAUACUGACGCUGAGGCGCGAAAGCGUGGGGGAGCAAACAGGAUUAGAUACCCUGGUAGUCCACGCUGUAAACGAUGAGCACUAGGUGUAGCGGGUAUUGACCCCUGCUGUGCCGUAGCUAACGCAUUAAGUGCUCCGCCUGGGGAGUACGGCCGCAAGGCUA